Molecule: long non-coding RNA, 488 nt
Filed under: Camarhynchus parvulus
Lineage: Eukaryota; Metazoa; Chordata; Aves; Passeriformes; Thraupidae
Description: lncRNA (ENSCPVG00000017879.1)
Source: RNAcentral
CCGGCCCGGCGGGCAGUAACGGCCGCGCGCGCGGGGAGGGGCCGUGCGCAACAACGGCCGAUCCCCCUCAGCGCCGCCGCCCGCGGGAGGAGGAUGCGCCGCCUCGGCCCGGCCGCGCCAGCCACACCGGCGAGACCAUGAGGGAGCCGCCCUGCCGGCCCCUGGCGCUGGGCUCCUGCCUCCUGCUCUGCGCCCUGCUCUGGCUUCCUGUUUGGAAUGUCUUUUGUAAAGACACUCACUCAUCAGUGGUGCAGUAUGCUUCAGGUGAUGCUUGUGCCCUGGCCAGCGAGGAUGAAAAUGUCCAGGAAAAGGGGGAAGAGGCUGCUCCCAGCCUGGAGCCCGAGGACUCCAGCACACGGAGUUACUCUAUGGAAGAGCUGCUCAAUGACUUGACAAAAUCUGACCAGGCAAGGCUUUUGUUUGAUUCACUGUCUUCAUACAGCCUUCAAUUGCUUCUUGGAUUUCACUCUUUCAUUUUGGUUAUCUAA